Molecule: non-coding RNA, 2039 nt
Organism: Marinobacter sp. T13-3
Lineage: Bacteria; Pseudomonadati; Pseudomonadota; Gammaproteobacteria; Pseudomonadales; Marinobacteraceae
Source: Rfam
GGUUAAGUGACUAAGCGUACACGGUGGAUGCCUAGGCAGUUGGAGGCGAUGAAGGACGUACUAACUUGCGAUAAGCCAUGACGAGACAGUAAGAGUCGUUAUCAGUCAUGGAUUUCCGAAUGGGGCAACCCACUCUGUUUACAGAGUAUCCGGCACUGAAUAUAUAGGUGCUUGGAGGCAAACCCGGAGAACUGAAACAUCUAAGUACCCGGAGGAAAAGAAAUCAACCGAGAUUUCCCUAGUAGCGGCGAGCGAACGGGAAGCAGCCCUUAAGCUGACAAUGCGUUAACAGAAUCUGUUGGGAAGCAGAGCCAUAGACGGUGAUAGCCCGGUAUGUGACGGCGCAUAGUGAGUGAAAACGAGUAGGUCGGGACACGUGUUAUCUUGACUGAAUAUGGGGGGACCAUCCUCCAAGGCUAAAUACUCCCAACUGACCGAUAGUGAACCAGUACCGUGAGGGAAAGGCGAAAAGAACCCCGGCGAGGGGAGUGAAAUAGAACCUGAAACCGUGUACGUACAAGCAGUAGGAGCCUCCUUGUGGGGUGACUGCGUACCUUUUGUAUAAUGGGUCAGCGACUUAUAUUUUGUAGCAAGGUUAACCGAAUAGGGGAGCCGUAGGGAAACCGAGUCUUAACUGGGCGUCGAGUUGCAAGGUAUAGACCCGAAACCGGGCGAUCUAGCCAUGAGCAGGUUGAAGAUUGAGUAACAUCAAUUGGAGGACCGAACCCACUAAUGUUGAAAAAUUAGGGGAUGACUUGUGGUUAGGAGUGAAAGGCUAAUCAAGCCCGGAGAUAGCUGGUUCUCCCCGAAAUCUAUUUAGGUAGAGCCUCGGAUGAAUACCUACGGGGGUAGAGCACUGUUUGGGCUAGGGGGUCAUCCCGACUUACCAACCCCAUGCAAACUCCGAAUACCGUAGAGUACUAUCCGGGAGACACACGGCGGGUGCUAACGUCCGUCGUGGAGAGGGAAACAACCCAGACCGCCAGCUAAGGUCCCAAAGUUAUGGCUCAGUGGGAAACGAUGUGGGAAGGCAUAGACAGCUAGGAGGUUGGCUUAGAAGCAGCCACCCUUUAAAGAAAGCGUAAUAGCUCACUAGUCGAGUCGGCCUGCGCGGAAGAUGUAACGGGGCUAAGCCAUACACCGAAGCUGCGGCAGUGUAUGUAUCACCACAGGCUAUUCCGCUUACGCACAGCAUGUGCGAAAGCGUCCCAACACUAGUUGCGGAUAACGGAGUAGUUUGCGGGAUACAUACACUGGGUAGGGGAGCGUUCUGUAAGCGGAUGAAGGUGUGUUGAGAAGCAUGCUGGACGUAUCAGAAGUGCGAAUGCUGACAUGAGUAACGAUAAUGCGGGUGAAAAACCCGCACGCCGGAAGACCAAGGUUUCCUAUCCCAUGCUAAUCAGGGUAGGGUAAGUCGGCCCCUAAGGCGAGGCGGAAACGCGUAGUCGAUGGGAAACAGGUUAAUAUUCCUGUACCGACAUGUACUGCGAUGGGGGGACGGAGAAGGCUAGGUGGGCCAGGCGUUGGUAGUCCUGGUGAAAGUUAGUAGGCUGAGGGUUUAGGCAAAUCCGGACCCUUAAGGCCGAGAAACGAGACGAGUACCUACGGGUACGAAGCCAUUGAUGCCCUGCUUCCGGGAAAAGCCUCUAAGCUUCAGGUACAUGUUGACCGUACCCGAAACCGACACAGGUGGUCAGGUAGAGAAUACUAAGGCGCUUGAGAGAACUCGGGUGAAGGAACUAGGCAAAAUAGUACCGUAACUUCGGGAGAAGGUACGCCACCUUUGGUGAAGACUUCGCGUCGUAAGCUGAAGGUGGUCGCAGUGACCAGGUGGCUGGGACUGUUUAUUAAAAACACAGCACUCUGCUAACUCGAAAGAGGACGUAUAGGGUGUGACACCUGCCCGGUGCCGGAAGGUUAAUUGAUGGGGUUAGCGUAAGCGAAGCUCUUGAUCGAAGCCCCGGUAAACGGCGGCCGUAACUAUAACGGUCCUAAGGUAGCGAAAUUCCUUGUCGGGUAAGUUCCGACCUGCACGAAUG